GAAAACGUCAACUCCAACAAAACUCAAAACUUCAUACAAUUAAGAUCUGGGUUGGACACCAAAAGGCAGCUCCAUUUUUAAAUUGGCAACGUGUGCCUCAUACAAAUUUAGUCAGAAUGAGUACAGUGUAGCAAGCUAGCUCGCUAACGUUCGCUACCAGGAAGUUAGCCAUCUGACUGAAAAACUGAGGCGACAAUAUGUUUUUUUCUGCCUGGAGUGAACCUUGGGAUUAUCAGGAAGAAUAAGAGGUGCUUCUUCUCCCUACCUCCGCACUGGGAAAGGCAUACGCUGGCAGUGAUGCCCCUGUGGAAAUGAAGUGGGAUGUCAUAUUCAUAAUGUUAAAAGCGCAGACAUAAUGCAGGUGACGGAUGGCUUCUGUGACUGAUGUAAUUGUCAGACUUCCAUUCUCCCUCCGUCGCACACAGAUUAAAGCCCCGGCUAGAAUAAAUCAGAGCUGUAAUGAGCACCUCACACUCGGCUGCCGUGGAGACUCGGCUGCCGUGGAGACUCGGCUUUCACUCAUCUCCUGCCAGUAAUGCAGCAGCAGGCCUGGAGAGCCGGCCAUUACCUCUUCACGUUCACAUUCACUCCUGCCUUUAACUAACAUUACAUAAAUGGCAUUUCUUAAAAUCAAGGUCUCUCCACAUAAAUGCUGCUGGGAAAGUGGAUUUCACUGGACUUGCUUUAUCUUGCAUCUGUUUGUGCUAAUUUUAACUUCACAAUAUAGGCUCAGUGUGUUUUACAUUAAUACGCCCAUUUGUAAGGUUGAUGCCCAACUUAAUUUCACAUUUUAGUUGGCGCCAAGUGGGAAGUGAGAGUUCUUCCCGGCUAGCCGUGCUUGGGAUUUGUCAGAGUGCCGGAGGGCAGGCCCCCGCUUCUCUUAAUUAGGUUUCAGACCUCUUUAAUUACCACACUUUCCCACCGGCUCAACCGCAGCCUCUCCUCAGGGCCUGUGGACAAGGCUUCAGACACACAACAGCACCCCACUGGAGCGAGAAGAAAAAAAAGAAAAAAAAAAGAAAAACAAAACAAAAUGGUGGAAAAAAAAACUAACACGUAAGCUUCCGAGGCCCACUGAGUGCAGCUGCACUGUAAUUAUCACCAAGUGGCCUCCACAUCUGUGUGCAAACAAUCCCACAGCUGCCACACAGUGUGUGAAGACACAGGUCAGAAGGAAUGUCUCCCUUUUUAGUCCGCCUGGGGUGCACACGCUCCUGCUGAGUGCUGCUGUAUGUCGACAUCUCACAGACUUUGGCGAAUAUCAUCAACUACACAGAAAGGCCACCGCCUGAGUGAUCCUAGUAGGUGUACUGUACAAUGGAUUUAUACUGGGGUUUUUUAUGUCAAAACAACAACAGCACUAUCAGGGUGCUUCACGUUCGGACCGGACACAAAGACUGCCAUGUAGUACCUCGACAGCUUCUGAACCAUAAAGAGGCUUUCAGACAGAUAGAGGAAGGACUGAAAGAAAGCUGGAGGAGAGAGGAAGGAAAGAAGACACUCUUCCAUGGCCCCUCUCAGAUGAACUUCACAACAGGUUAUACUGCACACGCGGGACAAACCACGCCUCUGGAGUUCAUAUCUCAUCUCUGCAGACCAGAUAGUUUACUCGUCAACUCAGAGAACAACCACCUGGCCAACCCAGGAAACAACCCAAAUGCUUAUCACUGCUCGUCAUAAUUCAAUCUCUCUCUCUCUCUCUCUCUCUCUCUCCCUCUCUCUCUCUCUCUCUCUCUCUCUCUCUUUCUCUCUGUCUCUCUCUCUCUCUCUCUCUCCCUUUGUAUGAGUCUAUCUUUCACUGAGGAGGCUGGAGCCACACUUGUUAACAUG
This is a long non-coding RNA of Clupea harengus (Atlantic herring), 1830 nucleotides long. RefSeq lists it as uncharacterized. The record is from RefSeq and is a predicted model, not a curated record. Lineage: Eukaryota; Metazoa; Chordata; Actinopteri; Clupeiformes; Clupeidae.